RNAcentral lists this ribosomal RNA (482 nucleotides) under uncultured bacterium. Its description in RNAcentral is "partial 16S ribosomal RNA". It matches the Rfam family "Bacterial small subunit ribosomal RNA", at positions 30 to 507 of the family's 1533-position model. The record is from RNAcentral.
AUUGAACGCUGGCGGCAUACUUUACACAUGCAAGUCGAACGGUAACAGGCCGCAAGGUGCUGACGAGUGGCGAACGGGUGAGUAAUGCAUCGGAACGUGCCCAGUCGUGGGGGAUAACUACUCGAAAGAGUAGCUAAUACCGCAUACGAUCUAUGGAUGAAAGCGGGGGACCGUAAGGCCUCGCGCGAUUGGAGCGGCCGAUGUCGGAUUAGGUAGUUGGUGGGGUAAAGGCUCACCAAGCCCACGAUCUGUAGCUGGUCUGAGAGGACGACCGGCCACACUGGGACUGAGACACGGCCCAGACUCCUACGGGAGGCAGCAGUGGGGAAUUGUGGACAAUGGGCGCAAGCCUGAUCCAGCAAUGCCGCGUGCAGGAAGAAGGCCUUCGGGUUGUAAACUGCUUUUGUACGGAACGAAACGGCUCUGGUUAAUACCCGGGGCUAAUGACGGUACCGUAAGAAUAAGCACCGGCUAACUACGUG